UCCCUGGUGGUCCAGUGGUUAGGAUUUUGUGCUUUUACUGCUAUAGCCUGGGUUCAAUCCCUGGUAGGGGAA
Transfer RNA from Ovis aries (sheep), 72 nucleotides. It matches the Rfam family "tRNA". From Rfam's summary of the family: Transfer RNA (tRNA) molecules are approximately 80 nucleotides in length. Lineage: Eukaryota; Metazoa; Chordata; Mammalia; Artiodactyla; Bovidae. The record is from Rfam.